GAGAGAGGUAAAGGAAAAUAAAAAAAAAAAGGGAAAACUUCGAAUACCACUCCUAUAGUUUAAAAUAUAUCAAUUUAGUAUCCAAUGAUUUCGUACUUUUUCACUUUAAUAUCCUGUGAUUUAAAGCGCAUCAAUUUAGUACCAUAUGGUUUCAUUUUUCUCUUUUCGGCGGCUCUUCUGUUAAUAUUUCGUUAAAUUAUAUACAAAAAACUUUAGAUAUUCUAUCCAGGUUUAUCGAAUAUUUACUUUAGUACCUUUUAUUUUUAACUUUAUCACUGAUUUUUUUUUCCUCCAUUAAUAUUUUGUUAAAUUAUAUACACAAAAUUUCAGAUAUCCUACCUAGGUUUAUCGAAUAUUUAUUUUAGUACCCUUUAAUUUUAACUUUGUCACUGAUUUAAAGAAAAAAAUUAGUGAAAUAAAUAAUAAAAAGUGAAAAAUGAAACAACAUAGUACUAACAUAAUACACUUUAAAUCACAGAGUACUAAAGUAAGAAAGUGCGAAACUAUAGGGACUAACUUGAUACACUUUGAACUAAAGGGUACUGGAGUAAGAAAGUCN
This 559-nucleotide long non-coding RNA is filed under the name Ananas comosus (pineapple). Its description in RNAcentral is "long non-coding RNA (ACOM_LNC017311)". The record is from RNAcentral. Lineage: Eukaryota; Viridiplantae; Streptophyta; Magnoliopsida; Poales; Bromeliaceae.